This 498-nucleotide ribosomal RNA is filed under the name uncultured bacterium. RNAcentral's name for it is "partial 16S ribosomal RNA". It matches the Rfam family "Bacterial small subunit ribosomal RNA", at positions 29 to 507 of the family's 1533-position model. The record is from RNAcentral.
AGCGAACGCUGGCGGCGUGCCUAACACAUGCAAGUCGAACGUGAAAAGGGAAACCUGAGUAAAGUGGCGUACGGGUGAGUAACGCGUAGGUAAUCUACCCCAGAAUCUGGAAUAACCUGCCGAAAGGCGGGCUAAUACUGGAUAGAGCGAGGGAACUCGUAAGAGAGUUUUUCGGGAAAGGGAGCCCGCAAGGGCCUUCGUUCUGGGAUGAGCCUGCGUCUCAUUAGCUAGUUGGUAAGGUAACGGCUUACCAAGGCGAUGAUGAGUAGCUGGUCUGAGAGGAUGAUCAGCCACACUGGAACUGAAACACGGUCCAGACUCCUACGGGAGGCAGCAGUGGGGAAUCUUGCGCAAUGGACGAAAGUCUGACGCAGCCACGCCGCGUGAGUGAAGAAGGCCUUCGGGUUGUAAAGCUCUGUCGGAUGGGACGAACAUCUUCAUAGUGAAUAGCUAUGAGGACUGACGGUACCAUCAAAGGAAGCACCGUCUAACUCCGUG